CCUACGGGAGGCAGCAGUGGGGAAUAUUGGUCAAUGGGCGCAAGCCUGACCCAGCAACGUCGCGUGAAGGAAGAAGGCUCUCGGGUUGUAAACUUCUUUUCUCAGGGACGAAGAAAGUGACGGUACCUGAGGAAUAAGCCACGGCUAACUACGUGCCAGCAGCCGCGGUAAUACGUAGGUGGCAAGCGUUAUCCGGAUUUACUGGGUGUAAAGGGCGUGUAGGCGGGACUGCAAGUCAGAUGUGAAAACUACGGGCUCAACCGGUGGCCUGCAUUUGAAACUGUAGUUCUUGAGUACUGGAGAGGCAGACGGAAUGCGUGGUGUAGCGGUGAAAUGCGUAGAUAUUAGGAGGAACACCGGUGGCGAAGGCAGUCUGCUGGACAGCAACUGACGCUGAGGCGCGAAAGCGUGGGGAGCAAACAGGAUUAGAUACCCCUGUAGUC
Molecule: ribosomal RNA, 443 nt
Filed under: uncultured bacterium
Lineage: Bacteria
Description: partial 16S ribosomal RNA
Rfam family: Bacterial small subunit ribosomal RNA
Source: RNAcentral